GAGUUUGAUCUUGGCUCAGGAUGAACGCUAGCGGCGCGCCUAAUGCAUGCAAGUCGAGCGAUGAGGCACCUUUGGGUGUACAUCAGCGGCAGACGGGUGAGUAACACGUAGGUGACCUACCCGAAGACGGGGAUAACAGGGUGGAAACAUCUGCUAAUACCCGAUGGGCUCUGAGCGGAAGCGAGGAGUAAAGGCUACGGUGCUUCGGAGGGCCUGCGGCCUAUCAGCU
This 229-nucleotide ribosomal RNA is filed under the name uncultured microorganism. RNAcentral describes it as "partial 16S ribosomal RNA". It matches the Rfam family "Bacterial small subunit ribosomal RNA", at positions 9 to 246 of the family's 1533-position model. The record is from RNAcentral.